UACGUAGGGUGCGAGCGUUAAUCGGAAUUACUGGGCGUAAAGCGUGCGCAGGCGGUCUGUUAAGACCGAUGUGAAAUCCCCGGGCUUAACCUGGGAACUGCAUUGGUGACUGGCAGGCUUUGAGUGUGGCAGAGGGAGGUAGAAUUCCUGGUGUAGCAGUGAAAUGCGUAGAUAUCAGGAGGAAUACCGAUGGCGAAGGCAGGUCUCUGGGCUGACACUGACGCUCAUGCACGAAAGCGUGGGGAGCAAACAGG
This 254-nucleotide ribosomal RNA is filed under the name uncultured bacterium. RNAcentral's name for it is "partial 16S ribosomal RNA". It matches the Rfam family "Bacterial small subunit ribosomal RNA", at positions 524 to 776 of the family's 1533-position model. The record is from RNAcentral.